UAAUACGUAGGCAGCAAGCGUUGUUCGGAGUUACUGGGCGUAAAGGGUGUGUAGGCGGUUGUUUAAGUUUGGUGUGAAAUCUCCCGGCUCAACUGGGAGGGUGCGCCGAAUACUGAAUGACUUCGAGUACGGGAGAGGAAAGUGGAAUUCCUGGUGUAGCGGUGAAAUGCGUAGAUAUCAGGAGGAACACCGGUGGUGUAGACGGCUUUCUGGACCGUAACUGACGCUGAGACACGAAAGCGUGGGUAGCAAACAGGAUUAGAUACCCUGGUAGUCCACGCCCUAAACGAUGCAUAUUUGGUGUGGGCAGUUCAUUCUGUCCGUGCCGGAGCUAACGCGUUAAAUAUGCCGCCUGGGGAGUACAGUCGCAAGGCUG
This 376-nucleotide ribosomal RNA is filed under the name uncultured bacterium. RNAcentral describes it as "bacterial SSU rRNA". It matches the Rfam family "Bacterial small subunit ribosomal RNA", at positions 521 to 896 of the family's 1533-position model. The record is from RNAcentral.